UACGGAGGAUGCAAGCGUUAUCCGGAUUUAUUGGGUUUAAAGGGUGCGUAGGCGGAAAAUUAAGUCAGUAAUGAAAUCCUGCAGCUUAACUGUAGCAUUGUUAUUGAUACUGGUUUUCUUGAAUGCAGUUGAGGCAGGCGGAAUGUGUAAUGUAGCGGUGAAAUGCUUAGAUAUUACACAGAAUACCGAUUGCGAAGGCAGCUUGCUAAACUGUGAUUGACGCUGAGGCACGAAAGCGUGGGUAGCAAACAGGAUUAGAUACCCCUGUA
RNAcentral lists this ribosomal RNA (269 nucleotides) under uncultured prokaryote. Its description in RNAcentral is "partial 16S ribosomal RNA". It matches the Rfam family "Bacterial small subunit ribosomal RNA", at positions 524 to 792 of the family's 1533-position model. The record is from RNAcentral.